RNAcentral lists this ribosomal RNA (459 nucleotides) under uncultured bacterium. RNAcentral describes it as "partial 16S ribosomal RNA". It matches the Rfam family "Bacterial small subunit ribosomal RNA", at positions 338 to 795 of the family's 1533-position model. The record is from RNAcentral.
CCUACGGGCGGCAGCAGUGAGGAAUAUUGGUCAAUGGGCGGAAGCCUGAACCAGCCAAGUAGCGUGCGGGAGGAAGGCCCGACGGGUCGUAAACCGCUGUUGCACGGGGAUAACACCCGCCACGUGUGGAGGUCUGCAGGUACCGUGCGAAUAAGGGCCGGCUAAUUCCGUGCCAGCAGCCGCGGUAAUACGGAAGGCCCGAGCGUUAUCCGGAUUCAUGGGGCUAAAAGGGAGCGUAGGCGGGCGUUCAAGUCAGCUGUAAAAUCGCGCGGCUCAACCGCGCCCCGCAGUUGAAACUGGCCGCCUUGAGUUCACCACAGGCAGGCGGAAUUCGUGGUGUAGCGGUGAAAUGCAUAGAUAUCACGAGGACCCCCGAUUGCGAAGGCAGCCUGCCGGGGUGCGACUGACGCUGAGGCUCGAAGGUGCGGGUAUCACACAGGAUUAGAUACCCGUGUAGUC